AUUGAACGCUGGCGGCAGGCCUAACACAUGCAAGUCGAGCGGAUGAAGGGAGCUUGCUCCUGGAUUCAGCGGCGGACGGGUGAGUAAUGCCUAGGAAUCUGCCUGGUAGUGGGUGAUAACGUCCGGAAACGGGCGCUAAUACCGCAUACGUCCUGAGGGAGAAAGUGGGGGAUCUUCGGACCUCACGCUAUCAGAUGAGCCUAGGUCGGAUUAGCUAGUUGGUGGGGUAAAGGCCUACCAAGGCGACGAUCCGUAACUGGUCUGAGAGGAUGAUCAGUCACACUGGAACUGAGACACGGUCCAGACUCCUACGGGAGGCAGCAGUGGGGAAUAUUAGACAAUGGGCGAAAGCCUGAUCCAGCCAUGCCGCGUGUGUGAAGAAGGUCUUCGGAUUGUAAAGCACUUUAAGUUGGGAGGAAGGGCAGUAAGUUAAGACCUUGCUGUUUUGACGUUACCAACAGAAUAAGCACCGGCUAACUUCGUG
This 484-nucleotide ribosomal RNA is filed under the name uncultured bacterium. RNAcentral describes it as "partial 16S ribosomal RNA". It matches the Rfam family "Bacterial small subunit ribosomal RNA", at positions 30 to 507 of the family's 1533-position model. The record is from RNAcentral.